Molecule: long non-coding RNA, 2245 nt
Organism: Cyprinus carpio carpio
Lineage: Eukaryota; Metazoa; Chordata; Actinopteri; Cypriniformes; Cyprinidae
Source: Ensembl
CUCAACCCUCAUCUGCUUUAUGCCCCACAGCUGUCAUUCCAGGAAAGUAGGUUAGAAGGAGAAUGGCAUAUACCGGGUGCCCGGUUGCCGUAAAAAGAUCAAACAGGAAAACAGACGAGGUAAGCCAGAAGUUUGCCACCAACUCCACCUUGACCUUGUUAGGUCCAGUUGUCCCAAAGCUUACAGGCAUUGCUGACCCUUGAUCCACAUGUCAUGGUGGAGUGACUGAGGAGUAAUGAGUCUUGUGCGUCCAUGGUUAUGAUGGCAAAGGACAAAAAGCAAGGGUCAACAACUGAUCCUGGACUGCCACUGGCACCCCCUCAGAAAACAGGCCCAUGUCAUCCCUUGUGCAGUCAGUCCAUAUUGGAGUCCUCAAAUGUCAGACAUUCACAUGACCCUGUAUUGAGGGCAUCUAGCUGAUAAGGACUGACAGUAAGGUUGAUUGAACAACCAGAUUUCUCUCGAGGUAAAAGCAGCUUUCUGCCAACAGCAUCAGAUUUUGCAACUACAUUUGUAACCAUAAUCUGGGUCAUACAUGUAGAAACAUUUUUUGAUAACUUCUACCAAGAAGCUGACUCAGAACUGAAGAAGUAUUGUUGUAUGACUGACAGCCAUUCUCCGUAUUUCAAAGAAUUCAGUUCUUCUGAUGUCUUGAGAGGAAAGAAAAUGAAGUUUGAGGGAAGUCUGAAUCAUUGCAGCGAGGUUUUUGGUUUAGUUGAUUUUAACAAACUGUGAGGGACAAAAAAGUCCUCAGUCAACUUGAACUCCCUGUGCUUUGUAAUGAAACUGAUCAAUCAAUAUUGUGAAAUUUUCUUUAAACUGUGACAUUCAUCACUGUUUUCAAUUCAUUAGGGUUUUAUUAGCUGUUUUUCAGCAUAGGUUCAUUGGAAAAACAUGCCUCUACCUACAUUUUUGCAGAACUUAAAAAAUGUACACUGUAAAAAACAAGCCAGUAAAACAUCAACAACUUUAGUACAUUUCACAAAAAUUAUGAUUAUGGGGCAGAAUAUUAAUUAGUAAAGACUUAUUUUCACACAGUUACUUGCACAACUACUACAUUUUUACAUUUGCAUCACAUAACCAGCUCCAUAUGUAUGACUUUUCUGGACAAAGUAAACUUGCUCGGUAGCUCACCUGGUACAGCAUUGCUUUUACGAUGUUGAGCACUUGGUUCUGUGAAACAUGGCCAGAUUUAUGGUCAUCUGUUUUGAAUUAAUAUGAAUAUCUAUGAAAUGCCACUCACUGGAUAAUUUACUUUGAAAAUGUUGCCAUAUGUGCAACAUAGAAGAGGCAAUGUAAUAUAUUUGUGCAGACAUGUCAUUAAAUUUGAUGCUUUUACCCUAAUUAAGAUCCUAAAUCAUUUUUUAUUUUUUUAUUUUUUGAGAUUUUGACUUCUUAUGUCACUUUUUAGUGUGGUGAAACUAUAGCUACUUUAUUUUAAAGUGUAGCUUGAGUGGAAAAGCGUAGCUCAUGAGUAACUUCUGACAAGCAACAGAAUCUUCCCCAAACACUGGUUCAUGACAAAUCAAACUCAAGAGCUCAGCUUCAGACAUUGUACUGUGGAUGACAGAACAAGAAUUCCCGCUAGCCCUUCAAAUAACAUAAAGGUGUAUGCUAGAUGGAAUAUCAAAAUUGUCAUAAUUUAUUAUGCUCAGAUUUGAAAAGGGAAUAUACUGUAUAAUGUCACUGUUUCCAGGAGCAUAGCCUUGAAGGAUUUCCGCGGGGCAUGAUUUAAUAUUCAUAUCUCUGCUAAUAAAUUAACCUUAUGUGACAUAGAAUGUGUUCGCUCCUUCUCAGAGCUUUAAAUAUGUAUGUGCAUUUCAGGUCUUGUUCAGCUCUUUGGACAAUGUAUUGUGACCUACAUUUUACAGCUCUUCAACUGGUGUUGUAUUUUUACACAAAGACUCCAUGUUUGGGUAGCUCUUCCUUUCUUAGUGUUUUCAUGUCUAUAAAAUGUUUUAGACAAAAUAGGACAUAUGCCACUCUUUUGUAAGCUUUCGGUUGAUUACUUCUUUGAAUAGAUUUUGGCAAGCCUUACCAGAUGAACUGCAAAAUCAUGGCUUAACACACCGAUUUGGCAAACAAUGUUGGCAUCACCAACCAUGAGUAUAAAGGUAUAUAGUUUUACCACAAAUUGAUGAGCCAGGGGUUAUUUGUUGUAAACCAAGAAAUUGAUUAAUGGUCCAAAUGUAAUAUUAUUGAUAUAUUAAUUGUAUUUCUUACUACUACAAGUAGUAUGAUGAUG